UUCCCCAGAUUCCUGCGAGACAAUGACCAACACAAAGCAGGGGGGUUCUCUCCGUCUCAUACCUUGCUGCAUAUGCCGACAGAACCCUCUGACUGUACUCUGCGAACAAACACCGUAUCUACCAGCAAUUAAAAAGAGUGACUUUUACGCAAUACCAAUCAUAUAAUCAAACAUUACUUUUACAUCCUGCUAAUGAAAACCAUGAAUACCGUUUAAACGGGUCCAAAAAUAUAAGAAUUCCAGUUCCUAAACACCGAAUGCGUUUAAUAUAUCAAUCCAAAAUACAUUUGGUUACAUUCGCGAGUUCGCCAGCACUUGAUAUUAUUUGGAAAACAACUUCAUCCAGUGAUCAGCAUAGACUACGGGCAAAAAUUUUUAAUCUUUUUCAACGUGACAGCUAAAUAAAGUGACAUUUCUAAGAGUGCAGAGCCCGAAUAAAAUUAUUGGCCUUCAUCAUACAACAAAAUUACUAACAUAUAUUUCUGAAUUCUAUUUUUGACACAAGUUGAUUAAUAUUUUCCCUUUAAAACUCUGAACAUUUAUUUCAUAUGUACAGUUCUGAAAACAGCUGGUCGCCAUCACACAAACUAGGCCGGCUGCGUUUUUUUCCCGUUAAGUUAUUACAGGUACUCACUGUAAAAACGCUGGGCAGUUUUUGCCCAAUGUCGGGUUACUACCAGGCGAAUCACCCGACUGUUGGGCAAACUGUCGGGUGAUUUAUUGCCAAACUUGUCUCUUGACCCAACGGUUGCUCCUUUCGCCCAACAGUUAAGCGAUUUACCUGGUACCAAACGUUGGGCAAAAAUUGUCCAGCCUUUUUACAGCGCACAACUACAGAUUUCUGGAAGUGCCAUCUGAUUUGUUGAGAUCCUGACUUUUUUUCUCCGGAUGAUGACAUAAUACAGGCAAGAUGUCGACAACCCCAUGUAAUUCAUCACAGGAUGAAGACAUCCUAAACGUUGGGUGUCAACAUCCUGAGAUAAAAUCUAAAAUCAGGAUCUAGACACGUAGAAUGGCACUUCUAGAGCUCAGUGCACUAAAAUGUAUUGCACAAUUACGAUGUCGUCAUCCCCUUGAUAAAUUAUCUCAGGAAGUCUAAAUCUUGUGUGUACGAUGUCGUCAUUCUAACAUCCCGAGAAAAACUGUCAGGAUCUCAACAAGUCAGAUGGCACUUCCUGAGCCCCGUACAUAGCUUUUAUUCAAGUCGAGUUUCCUGAACUUGUGGGAAAAAAAUAAAUAAAAAAAAUGCAGGCAGGCUGAAAAAUUUGCUCGGAAGACAAAGCAACAAAAUGAGCCAUUUCAAUGAGUGUGCUCAGUAUUCCAACAGCUUAUAGACCUACUCAAAAUGAAGCGUGUCCGAGUGUGCCACGCUGAUAGGGCACAGCUCCAAUGCGCACUGCUGUUCCCGAAUACCUCUGACGUGCUUCCGUUUGGGCAUGCGCCGUUACAAGACCGAGCUGGCUCACUAAAAGCAACAGAGCAACUCCGACCGUAAGUAUCAUUCAAUGCUUCUUCAUUCAAGUGAGAAAAAUGGUCAUUUUACUAAGAGUACUGCAAGGCGAUUUAAAGGGCAGAAAUACAAAAGGUCAGACAUGCUUCAACGAUAUUGACACAUGGAGAUUUUCUUAAUUUCCCUCAGGGCCAAACUGUUCAGGCAAAACAAUGGAUUUGCAGAUAAACUGAUAACCAACAUUGCUAUUUCUUUGAAACUGAAUUUUUCAAAAGGUUCACUGUGGGAAGGGAGCAAAACAAAAUCGCAUUAAUGCUGGACUCGCCCUAAAUUACGAACUCAGACACCAUACCACACUGAAGAACAAAAACACCAGUCACUGAACUAAACGCAAACAACAAUUUAUAUGUGCAUUGAAUAAUACUAAUUUAGAGUGUAUUUAAAAACAACUAUGCGUUAAGUAAAAUGGGAAUGUAUAUUGAAUGGUAAAAAGUGAAACUGAUUGAUCACAAAUAUACACAAAUUCCUCUCUGAUUAGGAUUAUUUUGGUGUUUCAAAAAAAUAAAUUUA
Long non-coding RNA from Acanthaster planci (crown-of-thorns starfish), 2020 nucleotides. NCBI's taxonomy places the organism in Eukaryota, Metazoa, Echinodermata, Asteroidea, Valvatida, Acanthasteridae. The record is from RefSeq and is a predicted model, not a curated record.